RNAcentral lists this ribosomal RNA (1555 nucleotides) under bioreactor sludge metagenome. RNAcentral's name for it is "bacterial LSU rRNA". It matches the Rfam family "Bacterial large subunit ribosomal RNA", at positions 1394 to 2925 of the family's 2925-position model. The record is from RNAcentral.
AGGCGAGGCCGAAAGGCGUAGUUGAUGGGAAACAGGUUAAUAUUCCUGUACCUCUGGUUACUGCGAUGGGGGGACGGAGAAGGGUAGGCGAUCCAGGCGCUGGUUGUCCUGGUUCAAGCGUGUAGGGGGAGAAGGCAGGUAAAUCCGCUUUCUCGUUAACUCUGAGACGUGAUGACGAGAGCGUAUGCUCAUAAAGUCGUUGAUCCCAUGCUUCCAAGAAAAGCCUCUAAGCUUCAGGUAACUUGAGACCGUACCGUAAACCGACUCAGGUGGGUGAGGAGAAAAUCCUAAGGUGAUUGAGAUAACACUGGUUAAGGAACUCGGCAAAAUGACACCGUAACUUCGGGAGAAGGUGUGCCUCCACUAGGUCUAGCGAUUUGCACGUGAAGCCGAAGGAGGUCGCAGAGAAAUGGCGGUAGCGACUGUUUACUAAAAACACAGGACUCUGCUAAGUCGUAAGACGAUGUAUAGGGUCUGACGCCUGCCCGGUGCCGGAAGGUUAAGGGGAUUUGUUAGCCGCAAGGCGAAGCUUUGAACCGAAGCCCCGGUAAACGGCGGCCGUAACUAUAACGGUCCUAAGGUAGCGAAAUUCCUUGUCGGGUAAGUUCCGACCUGCACGAAUGGCGUAACGAUUUCCGCGCUGUCUCAACCAGUGGCUCAGCGAAAUUGAAUUCUCGGUGAAGAUGCCGAGUACCCGCGGUAAGACGGAAAGACCCCGUGAACCUUUACUACAGCUUGACAGUGACAUUCGGAAUAGCUUGUGUAGGAUAGGUGGGAGACUUUGAAGCUGGCACGCCAGUGUCGGUGGAGUCGUCCUUGAAAUACCACCCUGGUUGUUUUGGAUGUCUAACCUAGGCCCGUCAUCCGGGUCGGGGACACUGUCUGGUGGGUAGUUUGACUGGGGCGGUCGCCUCCCAAAGAGUAACGGAGGCGCGCGAAGGUUCCCUCAGGCUGAUUGGAAACCAGCCGUAGAGUGUAAAGGCAUAAGGGAGCUUGACUGCGAGACCCACAAGUCGAGCAGGUACGAAAGUAGGUCUUAGUGAUCCGGCGGUUCUGUAUGGAAGGGCCGUCGCUCAACGGAUAAAAGGUACUCCGGGGAUAACAGGCUUAUCUCCCCCAAGAGUUCACAUCGACGGGGAGGUUUGGCACCUCGAUGUCGGCUCAUCGCAUCCUGGGGCUGAAGUAGGUCCCAAGGGUUUGGCUGUUCGCCAAUUAAAGCGGUACGCGAGCUGGGUUUAAAACGUCGUGAGACAGUUUGGUCCCUAUCUGCCGUGGGCGCAGGAUACUUGAGAAGAGCUGUCCUUAGUACGAGAGGACCGGGAUGGACGUACCUCUAGUGUUCCAGUUGUUCCGCCAGGAGCAUUCGCUGGGUAGCUAUGUACGGAAAGGAUAACCGCUGAAAGCAUCUAAGCGGGAAGCCCCCUUCAAGAUAAGGUAUCCCCGGGACGCAAGUCCCCUGAAGGCCCGUUGUAGACCACAACGUUGAUAGGCCGGGUGUGUAAGUGCAGCAAUGCAUUCAGCUUACCGGUACUAAUCGGCCGUGAGGCUUGACCAU